RNAcentral lists this ribosomal RNA (2893 nucleotides) under Acinetobacter baumannii. RNAcentral's name for it is "23S ribosomal RNA". It matches the Rfam family "Bacterial large subunit ribosomal RNA". The record is from RNAcentral. Lineage: Bacteria; Pseudomonadati; Pseudomonadota; Gammaproteobacteria; Moraxellales; Moraxellaceae.
AGUCAAGUAAUUAAGUGCAUGUGGUGGAUGCCUUGGCAGUCAGAGGCGAUGAAAGACGUGAUAGCCUGCGAAAAGCUCCGGGGAGGCGGCAAAUAUCCUUUGAUCCGGAGAUGUCUGAAUGGGGGAACCCACCUACUUUAAGGUAGGUAUUGCAACAUGAAUACAUAGUGUUGCAAGGCGAACGAGGGGAAGUGAAACAUCUCAGUACCCUUAGGAAAAGAAAUCAAUUGAGAUUCCCUCAGUAGCGGCGAGCGAACGGGGAUCAGCCCAUUAAGUUAUGUGUGUUUUAGUGGAACGCUCUGGGAAGUGCGAACGUAGAGGGUGAUAUUCCCGUACACGAAAGGGCACACAUAAUGAUGACGAGUAGGGCGAGGCACGUGAAACCUUGUCUGAAUAUGGGGGGACCAUCCUCCAAGGCUAAAUACUCCUGACUGACCGAUAGUGAACCAGUACCGUGAGGGAAAGGCGAAAAGAACCCCUGUGAGGGGAGUGAAAUAGAUCCUGAAACCGCAUGCAUACAAGCAGUGGGAGCACCUUCGUGGUGUGACUGCGUACCUUUUGUAUAAUGGGUCAGCGACUUAUAUUCAGUAGCGAGGUUAACCGUAUAGGGGAGCCGUAGAGAAAUCGAGUCUUAAUAGGGCGUUUAGUUGCUGGGUAUAGACCCGAAACCAGGCGAUCUAUCCAUGAGCAGGUUGAAGGUUGGGUAACACUAACUGGAGGACCGAACCCACUGUCGUUGAAAAGCCAGGGGAUGACUUGUGGAUAGGGGUGAAAGGCUAAUCAAGCCUGGUGAUAGCUGGUUCUCCCCGAAAGCUAUUUAGGUAGCGCCUCGGACGAAUACCAUAGGGGGUAGAGCACUGUUUCGGCUAGGGGGUCAUCCCGACUUACCAAACCGAUGCAAACUCCGAAUACCUAUGAGUACUAUCCGGGAGACAGACUGCGGGUGCUAACGUCCGUAGUCAAGAGGAAAACAAUCCAGACCGCCAGCUAAGGCCCCAAAAUCAUAGUUAAGUGGGAAACGAUGUGGGAAGGCAUAGACAGCUAGGAGGUUGGCUUAGAAGCAGCCACCCUUUAAAGAAAGCGUAAUAGCUCACUAGUCGAGUCGGCCUGCGCGGAAGAUGUAACGGGGCUAAAACUAUGUGCCGAAGCUGCGGAUGUAUACUUUGUAUACGUGGUAGGGGAGCGUUCUGUAAGCCGAUGAAGGUGUGUUGAGAAGCAUGCUGGAGGUAUCAGAAGUGCGAAUGCUGACGUGAGUAACGACAAAACGGGUGAAAAACCCGUUCGCCGAAAGACCAAGGGUUCCAGUCCAACGUUAAUCGGGGCUGGGUGAGUCGACCCCUAAGGCGAGGCCGAAAGGCGUAGUCGAUGGGAAAAUGGUUAAUAUUCCAUUACUUCUGUGUAAUGCGAUGAGAGGACGGAGAAGGCUAAAUCAGCCUGGCGUUGGUUGUCCAGGUGAAAGGAUGUAGGCAUGUAUCUUAGGCAAAUCCGGGGUACUCUAUGCUGAGAUCUGAUAGCAAGCUGUACUUGUACAGCGAAGUGGUUGAUGCCAUGCUUCCAGGAAAAGUCUCUAAGCUUCAGUUACACAGGAAUCGUACCCGAAACCGACACAGGUGGUCAGGUCGAGUAGACCAAGGCGCUUGAGAGAACUCUGCUGAAGGAACUAGGCAAAAUGGUACCGUAACUUCGGGAGAAGGUACGCUGUUGUUGGUGAUGGAACUCGCUUCCUGAGCUGACGACAGCCGCAGAAACCAGGCCGCUGCAACUGUUUAUUAAAAACAUAGCACUCUGCAAACACGAAAGUGGACGUAUAGGGUGUGAUGCCUGCCCGGUGCUGGAAGGUUAAUUGAUGGGGUUAGCGUAAGCGAAGCUCUUGAUCGAAGCCCCAGUAAACGGCGGCCGUAACUAUAACGGUCCUAAGGUAGCGAAAUUCCUUGUCGGGUAAGUUCCGACCUGCACGAAUGGCAUAAUGAUGGCGGCGCUGUCUCCAGCAGAGGCUCAGUGAAAUCGAAAUCGCUGUGAAGAUGCAGUGUACCCGCGGCUAGACGGAAAGACCCCGUGAACCUUUACUGCAGCUUGACACUGAACUUUGAUCUUACUUGUGUAGGAUAGGUGGGAGGCUUUGAAGCUGGAACGCUAGUUCCAGUGGAGCCGUCCUUGAAAUACCACCCUGGUAAUGUUGAGGUUCUAACUCUGUCCCGUGAUCCGGGACGAGGACCGUGUCUGGUGGGUAGUUUGACUGGGGCGGUCUCCUCCUAAAGAGUAACGGAGGAGUACGAAGGUGCGCUCAGCGUGGUCGGAAAUCACGCGUAGAGUAUAAAGGCAAAAGCGCGCUUAACUGCGAGACCCACAAGUCGAGCAGGUACGAAAGUAGGUCUUAGUGAUCCGGUGGUUCUGUAUGGAAGGGCCAUCGCUCAACGGAUAAAAGGUACUCUGGGGAUAACAGGCUGAUACCGCCCAAGAGUUCAUAUCGACGGCGGUGUUUGGCACCUCGAUGUCGGCUCAUCUCAUCCUGGGGCUGAAGCAGGUCCCAAGGGUAUGGCUGUUCGCCAUUUAAAGAGGUACGCGAGCUGGGUUUAGAACGUCGUGAGACAGUUCGGUCCCUAUCUACCGUGGGCGCUGGAAAUUUGAGAGGAUCUGCUCCUAGUACGAGAGGACCAGAGUGGACGAACCUCUGGUGUACCGGUUGUGACGCCAGUCGCAUCGCCGGGUAGCUAUGUUCGGAAGGGAUAACCGCUGAAAGCAUCUAAGCGGGAAGCCUACCUCAAGAUAAGAUUUCCCUAGGACUUUAUGUCCUCUAAAGAGCCGUUCGAGACUAGGACGUUGAUAGGUUGGAUGUGGAAGCAUAGUGAUAUGUGAAGCUGACCAAUACUAAUUGCUCGUGAGGCUUGACUAU